UAAGGUCACGGCGAGACGAGCCGUUUAUAUAGGUGUCAAGUGGAAGUGCAGUAAUGUAUGCAGCUGAGGCAUCCUAACAGACCGAGAGAUUUGAAC
This 96-nucleotide ribosomal RNA is filed under the name Halophila beccarii. Its description in RNAcentral is "4.5S ribosomal RNA". The record is from RNAcentral. Lineage: Eukaryota; Viridiplantae; Streptophyta; Magnoliopsida; Alismatales; Hydrocharitaceae.